Molecule: long non-coding RNA, 2840 nt
Organism: Cyprinus carpio (common carp)
Lineage: Eukaryota; Metazoa; Chordata; Actinopteri; Cypriniformes; Cyprinidae
Source: Ensembl
CGAGUUUCGAAUGAUUCGCGCAGGCUUGAAGCUGAGCGCAUGCAGAACUAAAACAUACAAUAAACCAAAUCAAAACUUUUAUUUUAAGGCCGUUUAUGGGAGUCAGGCAGCUGUAAACUGUGAUUAGAGAAAAUUGGGCUAGUUGUCCUUGCAGGCAAUUUUCAGUAUAGUAUUUUUGGACUGAUCAUUUUGAACACCGGAAACAAAGUAGCGUCUCUUUUUGUGAACUGUAAAUGUCAGAUGUCAGGAGAGCAUUAGCUCCGGGAAACGCUGCGAACUUAAGAGCCUCGUCUGACUGAUUAAAACAGUGGAUAGAGCCAUGAAGAUUUAUUGGAUUCUUGCACUAUUUCUAACUGGCACUUCCUCUGUUUCUGUGGUGCUGAAUCACCCAACAUCACUUCCCUGCGGCAACUGUGAAAACGUCGUGUGGCGUAAGAUCUUCCCCAUAGAAGCAACUGUUGCCGACUGCCAAAAGCGGAAAUGCAUCAUAAAAGAAAGCUUUCGGCAAAGAUUCAACGUCAUGCAUGAAGAAAACAACUCACUAUUUCUCAAGUCAGCAAAAUACAAUGACCUGGGACAAUACGUGUGCAGUUGUGACGGCAUUGACAAGCAUGUUAACCUGGAGGUCGUAGUUCCCAUAAACGUGACUGUUGUUGAGUUGAGAAACGUCACUCUUCCGUGUUAUGCGGAUACUCAGAGCGGUGUCAGUGAUGUGACAUGGCUACACAAUGAAAAAAAAGCUCUGUACUACACAACAAAAGGAGCCCCAAUCCCAGGCCUGGGCUAUGAGGAGAGAGUAUCGCUGACAGAGGACGGAGACAGAGACGGUGAUGUGUCUCUGACCAUCACUGGUGUCCAACAGACAGACGCAGGAUUAUACCGCUGCUUCGUUCGAGAUGAGACGGCUAAAGGAUACCCACACGCCUACAUGCUGCAUGUGAUCGAGAAGCUCACCAAAGCAGGAGGAAACCAAACUGAGGACAGCAACAAUGAAAAACGAUCUCACAUCGGACUGAUCUUACCUUUCUCACUCUUCAUUUGCUCUCUUCUCAUUCUUUUAUGCUGUAAGAUGAUGGCAUCACCCAGAGAGGAAACUACAGCUAGCGAGCCCGUACAGGAGAGUGACCAAAAGCAUUCAACUCGUCCUUUUUAUUCUGGAGACGAGAGCUAUGACCUGUCAAACCUGAGUAUGAACGAUUACAGUAAUCCUUCUAAUAUUGAGGAUACUGACUCCGCUGAAACACAGGAACAUGAGGUUUAGAAGUCUCAUGCAUGUAACUGACCGAUGCUUGUCUCACGCAGAAGUACGAAAUAUGAAAACAGCCAUCAUGGGACCACAGAACUGUCUCAACACUGUUACACUCUUUUAUUAAGCACUAAGAAAUUAUUCCUUUUAUUGUUUUAUCUUUGUGUAUCCUCUGCAGGAUCCAGAUUGAUGUUACUUUUCUUUCAAAUAAUAUAUUCUGUGAACUCCUUAAUGAAGUUAUAUUUUAAAGUAUAUUUUAAACUCUACAGCUGUGCACUAAAAUUCACUUUAAGAGACAUGAAAAAAAUUACUUUUUAGAUGAAAAUGACAUGAAAUUGCUUUAUAACCAGUAGAUGGCAGCAGAGGAUCACUCAUCAGCUCAGAUGCCAUGUCCACUCCCUAGUUUUUUUGUGUGUGUGUUUUUCAUGUCUUGCUUCUGGAUAUAUUGUAAAAUGACUAUUUUACAAAUUUGAGUACCUUUACUGCACUGAAGUAUAAAGUAUAGCAACUGUAGGAAGUCACGAAGUCUCAUGUCAUUUAAAAAAAAAAUUCCCAGACACCAACAGCCCAGAAGGGUUAAAUACUUAAGUUAAUUAUUAAUGGUACAAUAAUUAAAUAAUAAUGGAUUAAAUAUUUUUUAAAUAUUUUUAACAUUAAGUUUUAUCUUUAACCGUAGAAGCUGCUAAAUAUAUUCCACUAACAGACUUGCUGCUGCUGUAGUUUUGUUAAGCUACUCUGAAUUAGUCUAAAUCAUUUCAUGCACAGCUCAUUUACUCGUCAGAUUUUUGUUUUCAUCCUUACUUUAACAUUCUCAAUCACAGCAUCGACUCGUAUACUUUUUUAACACUUGCAUUUGUCAUUCCUGAAACACUAUAUAGGUCCUCUUAGAAAAACAAAACUUUUCUUCAAAUUGAGAAUGGAUUAUGUAGAUUUUAGACGGCUGAUUUUAACAGUUGAAGGGAAAUGACUGAGCUGGCUUAUCUAAAACAAGGAAGUAACCGUGCAUAUAGGCCUAGCCAAUUCCGCCAAUUCCAAUUGUUACGCUCACAUAAAACAUUGACUAUAUCUUCAGGAUUCAUGAUCGUAAACUUUUCAUGUUUGGUGUCAUUUUAAAGGUCUUUGUGCAAUUGAUAAAAUGGUCUCAAUUUCACAGUAGUCACUUGUAUUACAAGAAAGAUUGAAAACUUUUGUAGAAUUGUGUUCUGCUGUGAAGGGGGUGUGUCCCCCUUUAGGGGUCUUUGUGAAUGUUUAUCUGCAGCCAGUUGUGACCCUGACGUGAUCACUGGAACCUAAAGAACCAAAAGGUCUUUUAUGUUUUUACAACUGAUUUGCAUUUUAGACCAUGUGUCUUAAAUUAGGAUAACUGUUACAUGUGUGACUAUGUUAAAUUUGUGUGCCUCCUGCAUGGAUCACUUGGCCGUUCCCAAUAUGGCUACAGUGUCUUUGUGCAGAAGCAAAGUUGCAACACAACUACAAUGUGAUUUACAAUUACACUAUCCUUUCUAAAUUGUCUUCUAAUUGUUUUCAUUUUGUAAUUGACAUGAUACAAUUUUACCUGACUGAUAAUAAAUUGUUAUAUUUGAUUUAUUCUGCA